Molecule: long non-coding RNA, 273 nt
Filed under: Elaeis guineensis (African oil palm)
Lineage: Eukaryota; Viridiplantae; Streptophyta; Magnoliopsida; Arecales; Arecaceae
Description: long non-coding RNA (EGUI_LNC043088)
Source: RNAcentral
ACCGAUCUCCACUUACUAGAUCAAUUGGAUGAUUGAGUCUUGAAUAAGGUCACUUGGUGGUUUGGUUUACUCCAUACCAAUUAGAUUAGUCAUAGUGAUGAUUGAUUAGAUGAGAUCUGAAUUAAAACUUCCUCGCACAAUAUUAAGUACUGCGAUCUUUCACCAAUGUAGAUGUGCGGACGUGCAACUUGUAUUGAUUGUUCUCGACUGGUUACAAUAGUUCAGUUGCAUCAAAAAUAUGCAACCACUCUAUAGCAUUAGAUGCUCCGGGGU